CGAAAGCGUAUAUUAAAGUUGUUGCAGUUAAAAAGCUCGUAGUUGAACCUUGGGCUUGGCUGGCCGGUCCAUCUUUUUUGAUGCGUACUGGACCCAGCCGAGCCUUUCCUUCUGGCUAGCCUUUUGGCGAACCAGGACUUUUACUUUGAAAAAAUUAGAGUGUUCAAAGCAGGCCUUUGCUCGAAUAUAUUAGCAUGGAAUAAUAGAAUAGGACGUUAUGGUUCUAUUUUGUUGGUUUCUAGGACCAUCGUAAUGAUUAAUAGGGACGGUCGGGGGUAUCAGUAUUCAGUUGUCAGAGGUGAAAUUCUUGGAUUUACUGAAGACUAACUACUGCGAAAGCAUUUACCAAGGACGUUUUCAUUAA
Molecule: ribosomal RNA, 364 nt
Filed under: uncultured eukaryote
Lineage: Eukaryota
Description: partial 18S ribosomal RNA
Rfam family: Eukaryotic small subunit ribosomal RNA
Source: RNAcentral